CUUUCCAAUCUUGUCUAAGCUCAGAAUCAAAACAGUAUUGGGCCUGAGUUAUACUUGGAUGGGAGACCACUAGAAAAUCUGGAUUGGGAGAA
This 92-nucleotide ribosomal RNA is filed under the name Salvator merianae (Argentine black and white tegu). Lineage: Eukaryota; Metazoa; Chordata; Lepidosauria; Squamata; Teiidae. The record is from RNAcentral.